AGUGAACGCUGGCGGUAGGCCUAACACAUGCAAGUCGAACGGCAGCACAGUAAGAGCUUGCUCUUACGGGUGGCGAGUGGCGGACGGGUGAGGAAUACAUCGGAAUCUACUUUUUCGUGGGGGAUAACGUAGGGAAACUUACUCUAAUACCGCAUACGACCUACGGGUGAAAGCAGGGGAACUUCGGACCUUGCGCGAUUGAAUGAGCCGAUGUCGGAUUAGCUAGUUGGCGGGGUAAAGGCCCACCAAGGCGACGAUCCGUAGCUGGUCUGAGAGGAUGAUCAGCCACACUGGAACUGAGACACGGUCCAGACUCCUACGGGAGGCAGCAGUGGGGAAUAUUGGACAAUGGGCGCAAGCCUGAUCCAGCCAUACCGCGUGGGUGAAGAAGGCCUUCGGGUUGUAAAGCCCUUUUGUUGGGAAAGAAAAGCAGCAGGUUAAUACCCCGCUGUUCUGACGGUACCCAAAGAAUAAGCACCGGCUAACUUCGUG
Molecule: ribosomal RNA, 492 nt
Filed under: uncultured bacterium
Lineage: Bacteria
Description: partial 16S ribosomal RNA
Rfam family: Bacterial small subunit ribosomal RNA
Source: RNAcentral